AUUGCCCUAGUAACGGCGAGUGAAGCGGCAACAGCUCAAAUUUGAAAUCUGGCCUUCGGGUCCGAGUUGUAAUUUGUAGAGGAUGCUUUUGGUGAGGUACCUUCCGAGUUCCCUGGAACGGGACGCCAUAGAGGGUGAGAGCCCCGUCUGGUUGGAUACCGAUCCUCUGUAAAGCUCCUUCGACGAGUCGAGUAGUUUGGGAAUGCUGCUCUAAAUGGGAGGUAUAUGUCUUCUAAAGCUAAAUAUUGGCCAGAGACCGAUAGCGCACAAGUAGAGUGAUCGAAAGAUGAAAAGCACUUUGAAAAGAGAGUUAAAAAGUACGUGAAAUUGUUGAAAGGGAAGCGCUCAUGACCAGACUUGGGCUUGGUUGAUCAUCCAGGGUUCUCCCUGGUGCACUCUUCCAGCCCAGGCCAGCAUCAGUUCGCUGUGGGGGAUAAAGGCUUCGGGAAUGUGGCUCCUCCGGGAGUGUUAUAGCCCGCUGCGUAAUACCCUGUGGUGGACUGAGGUUCGCGCAUCUGCAAGGAUGCUGGCGUAAUGGUCAUCAGCGACCCGUCUUGAAACACGGACCAAGGAGUCGUCUUCGUAUGCGAGUGUUCGGGUGUUAAACCCCUACGCGUAAUGAAAGUGAACGCAGGUGAGAGCUUCGGCGCAUCAUCGACCGAUCCUGAUGUUCUCGGAUGGAUUUGAGUAAGAGCAUACGGGGCCGGACCCGAAAGAAGGUGAACUAUGCCUGUAUAGGGUGAAGCCAGAGGAAACUCUGGUGGAGGCUCGCAGCGGUUCUGACGUGCAAAUCGAUCGUCAAAUAUGGGCAUGGGGGCGAAAGACUAAU
RNAcentral lists this ribosomal RNA (829 nucleotides) under Ilyonectria robusta. Its description in RNAcentral is "eukaryotic LSU rRNA". It matches the Rfam family "Eukaryotic large subunit ribosomal RNA", at positions 74 to 935 of the family's 3401-position model. Lineage: Eukaryota; Fungi; Ascomycota; Sordariomycetes; Hypocreales; Nectriaceae. The record is from RNAcentral.